CCCCAGCCCGGGUAGCAGUGAAAACCCCGCAGGCCUUCAAGCUAAUUUUUCUUUGCUUUUCGGGGCGACCAACAGAAGCCACGAAAAAGCAGUAGAAAAAUAGCUUGAAGGCCGAGGAGUUGCAACGGAUGACCGGAUAAGCU
RNAcentral lists this small RNA (143 nucleotides) under Flavobacterium lacus. Its description in RNAcentral is "Flavo-1 RNA". Lineage: Bacteria; Pseudomonadati; Bacteroidota; Flavobacteriia; Flavobacteriales; Flavobacteriaceae. The record is from RNAcentral.